This 253-nucleotide ribosomal RNA is filed under the name uncultured bacterium. RNAcentral's name for it is "partial 16S ribosomal RNA". It matches the Rfam family "Bacterial small subunit ribosomal RNA", at positions 524 to 776 of the family's 1533-position model. The record is from RNAcentral.
UACGUAGGGUGCAAGCGUUGUCCGGAAUUAUUGGGCGUAAAGAGCUCGUAGGCGGUCUGUCGCGUCGGCUGUGAAAACCUGGGGCUCAACCCCGGGCUUGCAGCCGAUACGGGCAGACUAGAAUUCGGUAGGGGAGACUGGAAUUCCUGGUGUAGCGGUGAAAUGCGCAGAUAUCAGGAGGAACACCGGUGGCGAAGGCGGGUCUCUGGGCCGAUAUUGACGCUGAGGAGCGAAAGCGUGGGGAGCAAGCAGG